Molecule: unclassified non-coding RNA, 100 nt
Filed under: Bertiera longithyrsa
Lineage: Eukaryota; Viridiplantae; Streptophyta; Magnoliopsida; Gentianales; Rubiaceae
Description: partial external transcribed spacer
Source: RNAcentral
CGUUUGAUCGCCCGCAUCGAACGACUGCCGUCGUCGCCUCGGGGCGUCACGUCCCUCGGGACGGCCGACCCCGUGCGGCGCCGGCGUCGGUGAGGAAUGC